CCUGAUUUGUAUUCGAUUUGUUGGGUCGCACUGCGGAAAAACCUCGGCUCGGGGCCCUGCCUCUGAUGAAGCCUGUGUUGGUAGGGACAUCUGAGACUUGAUGAAUGCCAACGGCUCUGAUGGCGGUGCUUGCCGAGUUGCCGAGCGGGUUUCUGUUAAUGCCUUCUGCUCUUGCCUCUUCCCGUCUCUCAGUAAGGCCACGUGAGCCUCUAAAUGGCUGCAUUCCCCAUUGCAGCAUUAGUGCCCUCAGAAUGCUCCUGUGAAAUUUUGAGUGGUGUAGUAAAAGACCUGCAAACAUGAUGGGGAGACGACAAUGAUUAGAUGUGGGGAAAAAACGAAUUUUGGGAGUUCUUUGAUGGCCUAGCAGGUUGAGGCUCCUGCAUUCUCUGCGCUGUGGUUCUGGCUGCUGCUGUGCCGCGAAUGGUGCUAGGGAUGAAUGCAAUGUGGCUUUUGAUGGCUUCUGAUGGGCAGGUUGUAAAGCGCAAGCUUAACACUGUAUUUGUGGGCAAAAAGGUGAGAAACCUUUUUAAAGUCUAUAUACCCAGUGCUGUCCAAUUCUUUGUAUUUUUAGGGGUUGACAAAUCACCAAAUCAAUGUUGAUGCUUAAAUUAGCGGUUUGCUCCCCUUUUCAAACCUGAAAUUCUGCACCUUAGUUUUAUACUUAACUUGCGGGGAUCUGAAGAAACAGAUACUGUGAUGGUUGCAUAGUUCAACAGAUUGAAUCAUGAAAGAGAUAACAUUUGACUGAGUAUCUGGGUUGGGAAAACUUUGGCUAAUAGCAUAAGCAAAGUACCACUUCUAAUCUGACUUCUAUUUUUGUAGGUGCUAGGCAGAGUUAGCUGAAAGGUGAAGAGGUAAGUAAAAUUGUAAUUGAACUAAACAUUGGUGACUGGGCAAAGAUGACAGAAUGCCUCUGAUGGGUUUUUAGGACUGCCUUUUAAUACACGUGAAGCAAUCCUACCAUGAAGUGCUUGGACAGUGCUGAAUGCAUUAAGGCCAAAUCCUUGUCUUGUUACCGUAAGGUGUAUUGCUUUGGAAGAGCAGCCUGUGUGAUGAUAAGCAUAUACUGACUGAACAUGAAGGUCUUAUAUUAGCUCUAUCUGAUUUCAGGCAUUUUUUAGGUUUCUGGGGAAUAAUUCAUCUUUGACUACUGUAAAACCACUCUUUAUUUCUUUAGGUGAACUUGUCUGACAUGUCUGGACCAGCCUUUUUAGUGGGUAAGCAUUAAUGUUUAAAGCAAAAUUUAGUAGGCUCAAAACUUAGGGUAAUGCUGACAAGGUAGAAUGCCUAAGCUAAUUUUGUAUGUUUGAUUUGCAAACGUAUGUUGAGCAUGCUUUAGCAGGGUUUUUGUAAUGAUGUUGAGCAAAUGUCUGACCUGAAAUGAGCAUGUAGACAAAUCUAACACUGAAGGACCCUGUGACAAAAAUAAAUGAGAAUUUAAUGUAUGAUUGACCUUUUAG
Molecule: long non-coding RNA, 1460 nt
Filed under: Sus scrofa (pig)
Lineage: Eukaryota; Metazoa; Chordata; Mammalia; Artiodactyla; Suidae
Source: RNAcentral